This 274-nucleotide ribosomal RNA is filed under the name uncultured bacterium. RNAcentral's name for it is "partial 16S ribosomal RNA". It matches the Rfam family "Bacterial small subunit ribosomal RNA", at positions 524 to 796 of the family's 1533-position model. The record is from RNAcentral.
UACGGAGGGUGCGAGCGUUGUUCGGAAUCAUUGGGCGUAAAGCGCGCGCAGGCGGUCUGGGAAGUCUAUGGGUGAAAUGCCGGGGCUCAACUCCGUGCGUGCCCAGGAUACUCCCAGGCUGGAGACAUGUAGAGGCGAGCGGAAUUCCGGGUGUAGCGGUGGAAUGCGUAGAGAUCCGGAAGAACACCAGAGGCGAAGGCGGCUCGCUGGGCAUGAUCUGACGCUGAGGCGCGAAAGCGUGGGGAGCGAACAGGAUUAGAAACCCCCGUAGUCC